This 465-nucleotide ribosomal RNA is filed under the name uncultured Acholeplasma sp. Its description in RNAcentral is "bacterial SSU rRNA". It matches the Rfam family "Bacterial small subunit ribosomal RNA", at positions 912 to 1382 of the family's 1533-position model. Lineage: Bacteria; Bacillati; Mycoplasmatota; Mollicutes; Acholeplasmatales; Acholeplasmataceae. The record is from RNAcentral.
GACGGGACCCCGCACAAGCGGUGGAUCAUGUUGUUUAAUUCGAUGAUACGCGAAGAACCUUACCAGGUCUUGACAUCCCCCGCGAUGCUUUAGAGAUAAAGCGGAGGUAUUCGGGGAGACAGGUGGUGCAUGGUUGUCGUCAGCUCGUGUCGUGAGAUGUUGGGUUAAGUCCCGCAACGAGCGCAACCCCUAUUGCUAGUUACCAUCAUUAAGUUGGGGACUCUAGCGAGACUGCCGGUGUUAAACCGGAGGAAGGUGGGGAUGACGUCAAGUCCUCAUGGCCUUUAUGACCAGGGCUACACACGUACUACAAUGGCCGAUACAAAGGGCAGCGACACUGCGAGGUGAAGCCAAUCCCGUAAAAUCGGUCUCAGUCCGGAUUGGAGUCUGCAACUCGACUCCAUGAAGUUGGAAUCGCUAGUAAUCGCGCAUCAGCAUGGCGCGGUGAAUACGUUCCCGGGCCUU